AUACGGAGGGUGCGAGCGUUAAUCGGAAUUACUGGGCGUAAAGCGCGCGUAGGCGGUUUGUUGAGUCGGAUGUGAAAUCCCCGGGCUCAACCUGGGACCUGCAUCCGAUACUGACAGGCUAGAGUCUGGUAGAGGGGGGUAGAAUUCCUGGUGUAGCGGUGAAAUGCGUAGAUAUCAGGAGGAAUACCAGUGGCGAAGGCGGCCCCCUGGACUGAGACUGACGCUGAGGUGCGAAAGCGUGGGGAGCAAACAGGAUUAGAUACCCUAGUAGUCC
This 274-nucleotide ribosomal RNA is filed under the name uncultured bacterium. RNAcentral's name for it is "partial 16S ribosomal RNA". It matches the Rfam family "Bacterial small subunit ribosomal RNA", at positions 523 to 796 of the family's 1533-position model. The record is from RNAcentral.